This 753-nucleotide ribosomal RNA is filed under the name uncultured Actinomyces sp. Its description in RNAcentral is "bacterial SSU rRNA". It matches the Rfam family "Bacterial small subunit ribosomal RNA", at positions 28 to 776 of the family's 1533-position model. Lineage: Bacteria; Bacillati; Actinomycetota; Actinomycetes; Actinomycetales; Actinomycetaceae. The record is from RNAcentral.
GACGAACGCUGGCGGCGUGCUUAACACAUGCAAGUCGAACGCUGAUGGCCCAGCUUGCUGGGUUGGAUGAGUGGCGAACGGGUGAGUAACACGUGAGUAACCUGCCCCCUUCUUUGGGAUAACGGUCGGAAACGGCUGCUAAUACCGGGUAUUCACUGUCCUUCGCAUGGGGGGUGGUGGAAAGGUUUUUUCUGGUGGGGGAUGGGCUCGCGGCCUAUCAGCUUGUUGGUGGGGUGAUGGCUUACCAAGGCUUUGACGGGUAACCGGCCUGAGAGGGUGACCGGUCACAUUGGGACUGAGAUACGGCCCAGACUCCUACGGGAGGCAGCAGUGGGGAAUAUUGCACAAUGGGCGAAAGCCUGAUGCAGCGACGCCGCGUGAGGGAUGGAGGCCUUCGGGUUGUAAACCUCUUUCGCUCAUGGUCAAGCCGCAGCUUUGGGUUGUGGUGAGGGUAGUGGGUAAAGAAGCACCGGCUAACUACGUGCCAGCAGCCGCGGUAAUACGUAGGGCGCGAGCGUUGUCCGGAAUUAUUGGGCGUAAAGGGCUUGUAGGCGGUUGGUCGCGUCUGCCGUGAAAUCCUCUGGCUUAACUGGGGGCGUGCGGUGGGUACGGGCUGACUUGAGUGCGGUAGGGGAGACUGGAACUCCUGGUGUAGCGGUGGAAUGCGCAGAUAUCAGGAAGAACACCGGUGGCGAAGGCGGGUCUCUGGGCCGUUACUGACGCUGAGGAGCGAAAGCGUGGGGAGCGAACAGG